GCCAUAGCAGCAGAGUCGAGUAGCUGUGACAGAGGCUAUACGGUCCACAAAGCCUAAAUAUUUAUUACCUGGUGCUUUAUGAAAAAGUUCGCCAAUCUCUGUUAGUUCUUGUUUCCUGCACAUACAGCUCCACUGAAUCUGGGUUAUAGAUCAAUAUCAAGUGUUCCCAUCAAUACAGCUAUCCACGCAGCACACUGGAAGAGAGGGCAGAUGGAGAGCAGGCCGGGCCAAGGCAGCCAAGGGCGUGUGCAGGGCAGCGGCAGCCAGGAAGAGAGACUAUACAGUCAGUAUUACUCCUGCUAAAUACCCAGAGGGACCACAACCAACUUUCCUGGUCUGUGUUCCAUUAUACAAAAGAGGACUACAAAGAAAAGGACUGUGGAAAUAAAUGCAUACUCUUCUUUUGAAAUUCGUGAGGAAUGUUCAUGAUUUUUAACCAUAAGACAGCAAAAUGGGAUAAGGUGAUAAACAAUGCAAACGGUACUGUAACUGUUAAAGAAAAAAAGGAAGAAAUGCAAAGAAAAAAGAAAGUCAUCACUAGGAAUCUUAAAUUCUGAAAAAAAGAGUUCAAAAAGAUCUAAUGGGGAGAAGAGAACUUUCCAACUGUUGUCAUCCUGCUAUUGUAACCUGAGCCCCUCCCAAGUUUUCAGACUCCAAAAUCAGAUCUAAUUAAAAGAAAAUGGAAAAGGACUUGGAGCCUUUUCAGCUCUGGAUAACAUGCAGACAAAUAAAUUAAAAAGGGGGAGAAGUGGAACUAACCCAAUAAUCCGUGAAAAGCUCAUUUCCCUCCCGGCCGCCACUGAUGCAACACUGUCCUUCCUCCCUCCCAUCCUCUGGUUCAGGGGCAGUGAGUGGAGAAAUUGGCUAACAAGAUCAGAAAAUUUAAUUACAGCUCUGCCGUCCCCUUCCGAGAAGUUGGCUGUCACACUUCCCUUUUGCAGAUCGUCGUCUGAAUGUGCUGUCUCUGAUGAGCUUCCCCUCCGCCCCAGUCUCACUCAUCUCCCGACAUCGGCUCGGGACGGUGGACACAGACACUUUAAUUUGGGGGUUUAGAAGGAUUAGAUAUGAAGAUUAAAAGGAGCAGUUGGAGAAGAGAAUGUCGUUAUCCUCUCAUUUCCUUUGGUCUGCCUGAGCAACUUUGCCCAGUCUUAUCCCAAGAGAAGUACUGUGGGAGCCCCAAAGGCUUAGCAUCCUCGCAUUCCAGACCUAAAGAAGCCCUGAGACCCUGUAGAAGGAGCAGACACACCUGCAUUCAAGUGUCUGUUUUGCAUGCUGACUCAGAGAUACAGGAACGGCUUCCUUGAGCAGUGUUUCUAGCAAGAUUCUGAAAUGCUUUGGGCUCAAAACAAACACACGAACAAAAGAAUAAUGUGGUCCAUUAAUGAUUUCUUCCAGGGGGGUAGAAUGCAGAAUGGUGUCAAAAGAACCAAGUGUUUGCCAUUUCUGUUCUAGGGCAGCCAGAGGUUUAUGUCCAAAUCCAGUGUGCAAACCACUGGAGAGUGACAUGGAACAGGUGUCUUCAAAAUUCAAAGUUUAGCCAAUUAAAAAAAGGACUCUUGGUUUGCUUCUCUGUCACUAGGCAAAGCAAGGUAGUCAGACAAACUGUGCAGAGGUUCCCGGCCUUCACGUGACUGAGAUGCUAUUUCUCUUCACAGAAUGUAGUCGGCCCCUAUGUCCUCAGACCACCACAGGUCUCCUCCUAGAUUAGGGCAAGAGACAUAAGCCCAGAAAAGUGACUGUGGUAAUAAGGGGCAGUCUCCUGCUAGUGUGUCAGGGAUCCUUAACUUGGCCCGGUCAAUGCUGCUGGGAAGACAGUGCAGCAGGAGGAAGAGGAGCCAGCCAAGGAAAGACAGGUGGGAAAUGCAUCAUGGUGAACAGGAAAGAUGAGAGUUUUUCUAAAACUUUCUUUCUUAAGAAGGUGUAUCAGUUUGGGUUACAUUUGGCUGCACACAGCGGAACCCCUCCUCUCAUGCCACAAGGAGCCCAGCAGUAGGCAGUCCAAGGCUGCUGCUACUGCUGAGGAAGCUUCAAGGACUCAGGCUCCUUCCAGGUCCUUGUUCCCCCAGUUUCAGCUUGUGAUUUUCAUCCUUAUGGUCACAAGAAGCAGCUUGACCUCUGUGUUCCCUGCAGGAAGAAAGGGAAGGGCAAAGAGGAAAGGCAAAUUGUUUGCCACAUUGAUCAGGAAUAAAAGAGCUUUCCAGAAACCUCCAUCCAGUAGACUCUACUUAUAUCCCAUUAACUGGAACUGGGUCCCAUGGCCACCUCUAACUUCAAGGGCUUUGUCUAAUUAGACACAUUGCUGCCCUGCACUAAUUGGGGAUCUGUCACUAAGGAAAAAGAAGAGCAUGGAUGUUGAGCAGAUGUCUAGCAGUGUCUGCCACCGAGCAAAUAGACAAUGGUGCCAAUAGAAAUGAGAAAUAAGGAAAACAACAGGCUAUGUCACUCAGGGCAUAGGUAGGCUUCUAGUUCAGUUGUCAACUAGGAGCAAGGAGUAAGCAAUGAGGAAACUAAGGCUGUGAUACAAACUCUGCAUUCUGGAAGCCUGGACCUAUGCAUCUUGGCAUAUAAGUCCACCCUGGCCACAAGCAACAUAGAAUGUAUCCUGGACACUCUAUUCCCCACCCAGCGACAUCAGCAGACAGAGGCCUUUCUCCUCCAGUGAAAGGGAGCAGAGAUGGUGAAGAUUCUGACUGAGCUGGAACAUUGCAGCAACAGGCUAUAUCUCCUGGAACUUCCUUUUUCCCUAGAAAGUACCCUUGGGGCUGGGCUGCAUGCCUGGGAGGGCAUCACCUUAGAGAACAUGAAUGAUAAGAAAGAGCAGACAGAGAAACCAAAGCAGAGAGAAUCAUUCAACAGAGGUCUUCAGAUUCCCCUCCACCUUCCCUUGGCCUCCU
RNAcentral lists this long non-coding RNA (2894 nucleotides) under Equus caballus (horse). RNAcentral describes it as "lncRNA (ENSECAG00000056632.1)". The record is from RNAcentral. Lineage: Eukaryota; Metazoa; Chordata; Mammalia; Perissodactyla; Equidae.